AUUGCUUCUCGGCCUUUUGGCUAAGAUCAAGGGUAGUAUCUGUUCUUAUCAGUUCUAGGAUUUGGAUAUUGAUGUAGGAUGGAUGCUGCAUGGAGGGGGCAGGUGUACCAGGGCGUUCGGGGGCUGGUUCUGAGGAAUCAGCCCGACGGCUGCCCUGAUGUGACCUGUUUCCCUCCGAGUCUC
Small nuclear RNA from Hyla sarda, 183 nucleotides. RefSeq annotates it as U2 spliceosomal RNA. The transcript has a single exon. Lineage: Eukaryota; Metazoa; Chordata; Amphibia; Anura; Hylidae. The record is from RefSeq and is a predicted model, not a curated record.